UUCCUUCACACCAGAUUCGGAUCCUCGUAGGGACGAAGGUCCAACUCCUACAAAACCAAUAUCAGGAUGAAAGACCUAGGUUAUUGAAGGUCUUAUGAAAGAGCAGACGACGGCGCGACUCUCGCACCGGCUACGCAUCGUCAUCGUGAAUGCGACCUCGCGAGGAAUGAUUCCAAGAGCUUGCACGAGCGUCAACAGAAUCGAUGGGUCAUCCCAAAAAAGCUAGGAGUGGCGCCGGAUCCCACGAAGUGCAUCGAUGUCGCCGCGAAAUGAAACCGGAGUUGAAAGUGUAAGCGAUGAAAGCAACCUACCGGACUUGGCUGAGGCUCCAGUGGUCGUUGAAGGUGUGACCGGUGAGGGUGGAUUGAAGGGUUCGAAUGAGUUGGGGGUUGAGGAGAAGGUGACAGUUGGAGGAGUUUAUUGGUAGGUGCGUUCGUGUGAUGAAGGGUGGUUUUGGAGGUUUAUGAAUUGAAUAUUGCCGGAUUUUUUGUUAUGGAAGUUGGAGGAUGAAAAAAGGUUGGUUGAAGAUGAUGGAGAGGGUUUGGCUGGUCGUCAAAGACGGUUCCUGUUAGCAAGGCUAUGCAGUCUUUUUAGGUUCUGUUAGGGAGUGGAGAUUCGUUUGACGAGGGAGGUUCUUGGAGUAUUGGUUGAAGAGGAAUGAAGAAUUUCUGUUAGGAAUAUUUUUGAAGGUUGAGGGUGAGAGGGAUGGAGGGUGAAGUUAAAAGGUGAAGUUGGAGGGAGUGAAGGAGUGUCUUCGGAGAGUGGAGGGUUGUGAGCGUUUGUAGUGAAGGCUGGAGUAGUUGGUUAUGAUGGAGGAUUGAAGUUAGUUAGAGGUUAUUAGCUUUCAGUUAGCAGUCGUUAUGACAGUUGGAGAAUUCGAUUAUAUUGGAGGUCGUUUGGAAGUCAGUCACAGGGACUGUUAUGGUAGAUUUUUUUUCCUUUUUGAUUUCUCGAUCCUCCCCGCUUACAUUUCUGUUAGCUGUUGUUUUCAGGAGUUCAGGGUUGGCGAAGUAUGGCUGUUGUAGGAGGUUGGUUAGGAGUAGGGGAUUGAAGAAGUUCAAUCCGUUUAUGAGGCUGGUUAGUUGGUUUUGAAGAGGAACCAAAAGGAAGUUCAGUUUUGUUGGGUUGGAUUCUAUUGAGUGUUGGCUGCAAUUCGGUUAGAAGUUGUUUUGAGAGGUUGGAAAUGGUUUCUGUUAUGACAGUUGGGAAGGGUUACUGAUGUGUGGUUCGAAGGUUUUUGGGGGAAGUUAAUUGUGGCACUUUUUCAGGUUGUAUCUGUCUCAUGGCUUUAAGUUCCAUUUCUGUAAUAUCGUUUCCAAUUCUGUUGGAGUUUCGGUUUGGAGGAAGUUGGGAAUUUGGUUACAAAUGGUUGGAAUUAUGGAGUUGGUUUGUUGGUUACCGUUAACCGUCAAUUCUGUUAUGAGUUUGCUUCUUGAAUUUUGUUACAGUUUAUCUCACUGUUAUGUGAGGUUGUUUAUAUGUUAUUGUUUCCGUUAGAAUUAUAUGGAGAAAUGGUUGAAGAGUGAAGCCAGUGAUUAGGAGCUAACUUGGUUCUGUUGGUGGAAUUAAAAAAAUGCUUAUUAUUUUAUGCAGGUUAGGCUUUUACUGUAGAAAAUGCAAGGCUUGAAUCAUGUUUGAUCUUUUGUGCAAGUUGAAUGCUACGACCGAAUGAAAUUUGGAUUGGCUCAAUUUGGUUUGCAUUGCUUGGAACUGGAUGCAAGGAUUGCUUGAUGGACAUUUUCUCCUGGCGAUUUGAAAUAAGCUUUGUAGGGUUUACGGUUAGGAUUGAGUGUAACUUAGGUCAUACGGUUUCAUGUUAUGUAUGGUGGGUGACCAUGGUUUGAAACGUUUGGUUUUCUUUGAAUGCAUAAGUUGAUUUAAAAUUGCAAUUUGAAUGGUAUGUUUGUAAUUGGAUUUUGGUUGUGAUUGUAUGAUGUAAAAAAUGAAAUCAGAAAUUUGGAAUUUGGAAUUA
Long non-coding RNA from Lathyrus oleraceus (garden pea), 1972 nucleotides. RefSeq lists it as uncharacterized. The record is from RefSeq and is a predicted model, not a curated record. The transcript has 3 exons. NCBI's taxonomy places the organism in Eukaryota, Viridiplantae, Streptophyta, Magnoliopsida, Fabales, Fabaceae.